UUAUUCUACAUGAUUUGUUGACCUUAUAUUCACAUCGCAGAUGUUGGGUGGGCAAAUUCAAUCUGUACAAGGUUCUGACCUUAAGGACGUUGAAGUGAUGACUUGAGUUGUCGUCCGUUUUGUCAUUGAACCGACGGUGGUGGUGUACCUGUCUUUAUGUGACGAAGCUGCGGCAAUGUGUAGGAGUCUCAUCAGCCAGGUGAUAGAAGCCAGUCUGUCAUGGUGGUCACUACUGUGAAUCCCAAUAUAUUUGGAGGUAACCUGUACCUCAACUCC
This is a long non-coding RNA of Brassica oleracea var. oleracea, 276 nucleotides long. RefSeq lists it as uncharacterized. The transcript is spliced from 3 exons. The record is from RefSeq and is a predicted model, not a curated record. NCBI's taxonomy places the organism in Eukaryota, Viridiplantae, Streptophyta, Magnoliopsida, Brassicales, Brassicaceae.